GUCGAACGCUGGCGGCGUGCUUAACACAUGCAAGUCGAACGGAAAGGCCCUGCUUUUGUGGGGUGCUCGAGUGGCGAACGGGUGAGUAACACGUGAGUAACCUGCCCUUGACUUUGGGAUAACUUCAGGAAACUGGGGCUAAUACCGGAUAGGAGCUCCUGCUGCAUGGUGGGGGUUGGAAAGUUUCGGCGGUUGGGGAUGGACUCGCGGCUUAUCAGCUUGUUGGUGGGGUAGUGGCUUACCAAGGCUUUGACGGGUAGCCGGCCUGAGAGGGUGACCGGCCACAUUGGGACUGAGAUACGGCCCAGACUCCUACGGGGGGCAGCAGUGGGGAAUAUUGCACAAUGGGCGGAAGCCUGAUGCAGCAACGCCGCGUGCGGGAUGACGGCCUUCGGGUUGUAAACCGCUUUCGCCUGUGACGAAGCGUGAGUGACGGUAAUGGGUAAAGAAGCACCGGCUAACUACGUG
This 468-nucleotide ribosomal RNA is filed under the name uncultured bacterium. RNAcentral describes it as "partial 16S ribosomal RNA". It matches the Rfam family "Bacterial small subunit ribosomal RNA", at positions 28 to 507 of the family's 1533-position model. The record is from RNAcentral.